UGCAAGUCGAACGGUAACAGCACUUCUGGUGGCUGACGAGUGGCGCACGGGUGCGUAACGCGUAUGCAAUCUACCUUUUACAGUGGGAUAGCCCAGAGAAAUUUGGAUUAAUACCGCAUAGUAUCUAGAAUCGGCAUCGAUUUUAUAUUAAACAUUUAUGGGUAAAAGAUGAGCAUGCGUUCUAUUAGCUAGAUGGAGUGGUAACGGCACCCCAUGGCGACGAUAGAUAGGGGCCCUGAGAGGGGGAUCCCCCACACUGGUACUGAGACACGGACCAGACUCCUACGGGAGGCAGCAGUGAGGAAUAUUGGACAAUGGGCGCAAGCCUGAUCCAGCCAUGCCGCGUGCAGGAAGACUGCCCUAUGGGUUGUAAACUGCUUUUAUACGGGAAGAAACACCCCCUCGUGAGGGGGCUUGACGGUACCGUAAGAAUAAGGAUCGGCUAACUCCGUGCCAGCAGCCGCGGUAAUACGGAGGAUCCAAGCGUUAUCCGGAAUCAUUGGGUUUAAAGGGUCCGUAGGUGGAUAAUUAAGUCAGAGGUGAAAUCCUGCAGCUCAACUGUAGAAUUGCCUUUGAUACUGGUUAUCUUGAAUUAUUAUGAAGUAGUUAGAAUAUGUAGUGUAGCGGUGAAAUGCAUAGAUAUUACAUAGAAUACCAAUUGCGAAGGCAGAUUACUAAUAAUAUAUUGACACUGAUGGACGAAAGCGUGGGGAGCGAACAGGAUUAGAUACCCUGGUAGUCCACGCCGUAAACGAUGGAUACUAGUUGUUCGGAGUAAUCUGAGUGGCU
Molecule: ribosomal RNA, 789 nt
Filed under: uncultured marine bacterium
Lineage: Bacteria
Description: bacterial SSU rRNA
Rfam family: Bacterial small subunit ribosomal RNA
Source: RNAcentral